RNAcentral lists this ribosomal RNA (233 nucleotides) under Symbiodinium sp. clade A. RNAcentral's name for it is "partial Bacterial small subunit ribosomal RNA". It matches the Rfam family "Bacterial small subunit ribosomal RNA", at positions 531 to 763 of the family's 1533-position model. Lineage: Eukaryota; Dinophyceae; Suessiales; Symbiodiniaceae. The record is from RNAcentral.
GGUGCAAGCGUUGUCCGGAUUUAUUGGGUUUAAAGGGUGCGUAGGUGGUCCUUUAAGUCAGUGGUGAAAGCCUGCAGCUUAACUGUAGAACUGCCAUUGAUACUGGAGGACUUGAGUAUAGAUAAGGUAGGCGGAAUUGAUGAUGUAGCGGUGAAAUGCAUAGAUAUCAUCAGGAACUCCGAUUGCGAAGGCAGCUUACUGGUCUAUAACUGACGCUGAGGCACGAAAGCGUG